RNAcentral lists this transfer RNA (88 nucleotides) under Brevundimonas sp. NIBR10. RNAcentral's name for it is "tRNA-His". The record is from RNAcentral. Lineage: Bacteria; Pseudomonadati; Pseudomonadota; Alphaproteobacteria; Caulobacterales; Caulobacteraceae.
GGCGCCGGCGCGGCGGUCGGAACCGGCGUCGUUGUGGGCGGCGUGGCCGCCGCAGCGGCCGCCGGUGUCGGCCUCGCCGCCGGCGCCG